GCAGCUGCUCCGGGGUGUGCGCAGAUGCGCGCUGAGAUGGCCGAGCGGCCGAACCCGCGAACUUGAUCUGGUUCAUACCAGCGUAAGAAGAGCUGCGACUCCCCCG
This 106-nucleotide non-coding RNA is filed under the name Burkholderiales bacterium 8X. Its description in RNAcentral is "TPP". It matches the Rfam family "TPP riboswitch aptamer (THI element)". From Rfam's summary of the family: Vitamin B(1) in its active form thiamin pyrophosphate (TPP) is an essential coenzyme that is synthesised by coupling of pyrimidine and thiazole moieties in bacteria. The record is from RNAcentral. Lineage: Bacteria; Pseudomonadati; Pseudomonadota; Betaproteobacteria; Burkholderiales.